RNAcentral lists this transfer RNA (85 nucleotides) under Dyella agri. RNAcentral describes it as "tRNA-Leu". It matches the Rfam family "tRNA". From Rfam's summary of the family: Transfer RNA (tRNA) molecules are approximately 80 nucleotides in length. RNAcentral also lists the same sequence under 3 other names. Lineage: Bacteria; Pseudomonadati; Pseudomonadota; Gammaproteobacteria; Lysobacterales; Rhodanobacteraceae. The record is from RNAcentral.
GCCCAGGUGGCGGAAUUGGUAGACGCACUACCUUGAGGUGGUAGCGCCGCAAGGCGUAGGGGUUCGAGUCCCCUCUUGGGCACCA